GUUUCAUUUAAAGUAACUACUGAUUUCGCCAGGGACAACUGAACCAUGCAUUUUCCUACUUGAUUAGACCUUUUCCAAAUGAAAUUUCUAAUCCAAUGUAUCCUUGAUUCCGUAAAUUGUGCAAUUCAGUUCAAUAAUAAGUUUUUAAAUUCCUAUAAUCAAUGUGCUAACGGACGACACUGACAUCUAUCACAUCCAAUGUUUAUUGCUAAGUAGUUUCGAUUAGUUACUCUACAGAAAAUAGACAGUGCUUAUAAAUAAGUGUUUUACAUUAUCUGUUGCCGGCAUCCACGUUAUGAAGCAAAGGCUCUCAAAUAGUAAAUUAGAAGCCGCUUUGUACAAAGCUUGGUUAAUUUGCAUUUCUAUAUAAGCACUCAUACUGCAUUGAGUAGUUAUGAACUUAGAAGAAUUAUCUGCUGGUAUUAUCCGGAAUUCUUCUAGCAGUACAGUAAUUGGAAUUUCAAAUGUGAGCAAGUUGGUUUGAUGCUUGCUGGUAUGGGAGCUUCGGUCGAUGUUUUUCAAAUGGCAAGGGCUCGUUGGGAAAAGAGGCAAGCAAAAGUCUUGAAAAAAGUCAGAACACGGAUGGUGAACCAAGAGAAUUCAGACACAGGCAGGUCUUGGAGCGAUGUCUGGGGAUCCCCACCACGAGAUCAAAACAAUGAGGAAGAAGCAUCGGAGAGAGCCAAGAGAGCGGCGGCUGCUGCAAGACGGUGGUGACAAUACUCAAGGCGAGGCGCAGACAGGCCUCCGACAUACAAGCUUCCAGAGGCAGUGGGCAACAAAGAUUAGUCCACUGAAUAGAGAAAACUUCUACCAUGGUUUGGCCAAAUCUGGUAAACCUUUACUGUACAGUGUCAUUGUUUGCAGAUGUGAUGCGAAGGUUCGCUUUGCCUUCCCAGUGAAUGAGUAGAGAUGGAAAUGGAUGGCUAAUGUUUUCUUUGUAGUUGGGUUUGAGUCUCUUAACUGACGUUUAUGCCUUUAGAUACUGUUCCUAACAUUGGAUCUGUGAUAGUCUCCGCGGUUUUUGUGAAUUUAUGAUUAUUCUGCAAAAAGCAAAACAAAAAAAAGAAGUUCUUGAUCUGAUUGUGUCCUGAUUAGUAGAGAAGUGAUGAACUUUAAGCAAAAAUAUAGGCCAAUUUCACCUGUAGUGCUUGAGAAUACGAUUUAACCUGUGCCAUGGCUAGGUGCUCUUGUGGAGCUACCAAAUUUGACAUCCAUGGUAAAACUUGCUUCAUAUACAUUUUCCGACACCAUUCCAUAUAAACUUAGCUAAGCUACAGGUCCAAUCAUGCUUCAGUCUGAUUGUCUGUUAUUCAUUGCUGUUAUGUUCUGAAUGUCUGCUGCGUGGACGCUUCUCUUUCUGUUCUAUCAUCUCCUACAGGUAUUGCUAUCCACCCAAAAUAGUUUUUUGGGAAGCAUGAGGUGUGCACCAUACCCUGGCUUCAGUCUGAUUGUUUUAAUGUUCUCCUAUCUUCUAACUACUAGGAAUUUAAUGCAUUGAUCCCCCAUAUUUGCAUCUAUCACUUGAAGCAUCACUUGCAAGACAAUGGACAGCAAAAUAAUUCUGAGUUUUUACAUGUUUUACUGCUAUUAUUGGAUUCUGUGCGCCAAAUUGCCAUAAGUGUCAGUUUCAGCUUUUAAUGUUGCAUGCUUGACUAUACUGAAAUUUCGGUGGAGACUUCAUUUACUGUUCUUUCGUUCAAGUUGGUUAUUCUGAUCCCCUAGCUAUUUUAAAUAAUAUAUGUCUAAAUUAUGGACUCAGUCAUCUUGAUUUCACAAUUUAUUUGAGAGAUGUGCAGUAAGCGUAAGCUAUAUAUAGUAGUAUGCCCACUGUUGUGGACCUUCAAACAUUGUGUAAGUAGGUAACUGAUUACAUCUACAGCAUACUCUGUUCUACCUCCAGCUGUGAUCAUUGCUCUUGUGAUCAACUGCAAUUCGUCUGAUCUCAAGCUAGCAGUGAAACAUGUGAAGCUUCUACCUUCCUGUACAUACAGAUGAUUGCUGAGAAGGAUGAGAGGAGUUGCCUGAGCAGAUUACCCAUUCGAUCAUGAAAGUACCACUUUGUAAGGUCGAUUUCACAUUUGAAUUUGAUGGGUGAUGGAUACAAGUAGAAUAUGCCAUAAAAAUAGCAAUGAUCAAUCAUAUGUAGAUCAUACUAUUUAUCUUAUUAAUUAUAUUGGAUGUAUGUCACCAAGAUAUAUCUUGGACAUAUUUGUCAAGAUACAAGCAUUCAGGAGAUAUUUCUACAAUUGAAAUUAGUUUACAAA
Panicum virgatum (switchgrass) is the source of this 2267-nucleotide RNA transcript. RefSeq lists it as uncharacterized. NCBI's taxonomy places the organism in Eukaryota, Viridiplantae, Streptophyta, Magnoliopsida, Poales, Poaceae. The record is from RefSeq and is a predicted model, not a curated record. The transcript is spliced from 6 exons.